UAUGGGAUUUUUUUCUAAGUAGAUUUUGACUGAAGCAGUAUGGUGAUCUAUACUAGCCUCCUAAUACUUACCUAUGGGAAAGCUUUGGAUUGGGGGAGGAGUACCGUAACGGAUCCCCUAUACUCUGGCUGAGUAUAUCCGCUGAAGAGUGUCCCUGGUCCCGCAGAGUGAAAGUGUGUUAUAGUAUCCCAAGACUUGAUGAAGGGUAAAUCAGAAUGUUUUAUUAGGGCCAAGUUGCCAGGUCAUACCCCCAGCAGGGCCGGCACUUCCAUUAGGUCAGUUAGGCAGUGGCCUAGUUCGCUGUUUAACCGAGGGCGCUCGCAGGGGCUGUAAUAAUCAUCUGAACUCACCACUUGAAUACGCAGAGCGUGUAUCACCUCCCCCGUGACAGAGCUGCCGUGAACGCCCGCCCCUCACUUCUCUAUCCCUCCUCCACUCUUGCCAUAAGGAGCGAUAUAACCCCGCCUCUGGCCGGGCAGAUAAUCUGAUACAUGGCCCCCCCACAUCUAAACCCGCCUCUCCCCACCCCAAUCUGCAUCCCCACCUGCCUUUACCCACUCCUCCCAAGACCCUAAAUCCAGACACCAAAGCCCCCAUUUGAAUAUGUGAGAGCUUGCUGUGUUUGUGUGUGUCUGUUAGACAGUGUGUGUGAGUGUAUGUAUUAGGCAGCGUGUGUGUCUAUCAGACAGUGUGUUUGUGUGUGUGUGUGUGUGUAUUAGACAUUGUACUAUUAUACAGCAUGUGUAUGUAUUAGACAUUGCGUGUCUAUUAUACAGUGUGUGUGUGUGUAUGUAUUAGACAUUGUGUGUCUAUUAUACAGUGUGUGUGUAUGUAUUACACAGUGUGUGUCUAUUAGAGAGUGUGUGUAUGUAUUACACAGUGUGUGUGUCUAUUAGACAGUGUGUGUAUUAGACAUUAUGUGUCUAUUAGACAGUUUGUGUGUGUGUGUAUGUAUUACACAGAGUGUGUGUCUUAUAGACAGUGUGUGUGUGUUUGUUAGCUAGGGUGCAUGUAUACUAGACUGUGACAGUGUGUGUGUGUGUAUGUAUUAGGCUGUGUGUGUGCGUAUUAGACAUUGUAUGUCUAUUAGACAGUGUGUAUGUAUGUAUUACACAUUGUGUGUGUGAGUCUAUAAGAGAGUGUGUGUAUUAGGCAGUGUAUGAGGCCCUGGAGAGAAAGCGCAGCUAAGCGGACAAGGGCACAUGUAGGAGUGUGGGGGUAGAUGCGUGGGAGUGUCUUGGGAAGUGUGUG
Pelobates cultripes (western spadefoot toad) is the source of this 1251-nucleotide non-coding RNA. The record is from the annotation of a GenBank genome assembly. NCBI's taxonomy places the organism in Eukaryota, Metazoa, Chordata, Amphibia, Anura, Pelobatidae.